RNAcentral lists this unclassified non-coding RNA (253 nucleotides) under uncultured delta proteobacterium. RNAcentral's name for it is "contains 16S-23S intergenic spacer region". It matches the Rfam family "Bacterial small subunit ribosomal RNA", at positions 524 to 776 of the family's 1533-position model. Lineage: Bacteria; Deltaproteobacteria. The record is from RNAcentral.
UACGGAGGGCGCAAGCGUUGUUCGGAAUUACUGGGCGUAAAGAGCGUGUAGGCGGUUCGGAAAGUCGGAUGUGAAAUCCCCGGGCUCAACUCGGGAACUGCAUCCGAAACUUCCGAACUAGAGUCCCGGAGAGGAAGGCAGAAUUCCCAGUGUAGGGGUGAAAUCCGUAGAUACUGGGAGGAAUACCAGAGGCGAAGGCGGCCUUCUGGACGGUGACUGACGCUGAGACGCGAAAGCGUGGGGAGCAAACAGG